RNAcentral lists this long non-coding RNA (766 nucleotides) under Paramuricea clavata. Lineage: Eukaryota; Metazoa; Cnidaria; Anthozoa; Malacalcyonacea; Plexauridae. The record is from RNAcentral.
GUGACCUCAACUUUUUUGUCUGUUUUUAUUAUGAGGAUAUCAUAAACUUCACCCCUGGGAAGUUUCCGCAAAUUCUCAUUCCCAGAACAAUAUUGAUGAAUCACCUAGAAUCUUAUUUUUAUAAUGUCCUUUAGACGAGUGCAAAGAUUUGAUGUUGAUUGAGAAAAACCAGUUGGCUUCUGCAGCAUGGAAGCUCACAGGUGAAGAUGAGAAGCAAGUGUUCAAGAGUUCAUCAGAUGACCUCGAAUCAUGGCUGUUGGCAAAAACAUGAAGCACAGCCAGGAGGAAAAACCUAUAAUUUUGCCCGUUUAUACCGAAGCAGAAGAAAGGUUUUGGUUAUUCUAUGCUAUCACUAAGCCAACUUAAAUACAGCAAACAGGACCACUUACAAAGAUUACUGGUUGGACCUUAGUCCUACUAACUGAAGGUUACAAAGUCCUGCAUUCCAAACAAGGGACUUUACUGGGGAAAAACAUUCGUACAAUGCAUGGUCCCAUGUAUUUCACACUGACUGAAACCUUAGGCCAGACAAGUUACAACCUUCCACUAGGAAAUAGGCAAGCCAUUGAAAAAGCUCCUGGAAUGCUUAGUUAAGUAGCUUAAGUUUGGAGUAGUAAUGUAAAUAGAUUUUCCUAUACACUGUAAAAAAUUGUACAAUAUACGUUUUAUUGUAGUCGCUUAUUUAUAUCUAUUUUCUAAAGUUCAAACUUUGGAAGGACCUAAUAGUAAUAGUGAUCUAGCAAACUUUGACAUUUGUCUAGGCAUU